AACGAACGCUGGCGGCAGGCUUAACACAUGCAAGUCGAACGCCCCGCAAGGGGAGUGGCAGACGGGUGAGUAACGCGUGGGAAUCUACCUAGUUCUACGGAACAACAGAGGGAAACUUCUGCUAAUACCGUAUACGCCCUAAGGGGGAAAGAUUUAUCGGAAUUAGAUGAGCCCGCGUAAGAUUAGCUAGUUGGUGGGGUAAUGGCCUACCAAGGCGACGAUCUUUAGCUGGUCUGAGAGGAUGAUCAGCCACACUGGGACUGAGACACGGCCCAGACUCCUACGGGAGGCAGCAGUGGGGAAUAUUGGACAAUGGGCGCAAGCCUGAUCCAGCCAUGCCGCGUGAGUGAUGAAGGCCUUAGGGUUGUAAAGCUCUUUCAGUGGGGACGAUAAAUGACGGUACCCACAGAAGAAGCCCCGGCUAAACUUCGUG
Molecule: ribosomal RNA, 433 nt
Filed under: uncultured bacterium
Lineage: Bacteria
Description: bacterial SSU rRNA
Rfam family: Bacterial small subunit ribosomal RNA
Source: RNAcentral